RNAcentral lists this ribosomal RNA (570 nucleotides) under uncultured Gammaproteobacteria bacterium. Its description in RNAcentral is "bacterial SSU rRNA". It matches the Rfam family "Bacterial small subunit ribosomal RNA", at positions 564 to 1134 of the family's 1533-position model. The record is from RNAcentral. Lineage: Bacteria; Pseudomonadati; Pseudomonadota; Gammaproteobacteria.
AGCGCAUGCAGGCGGUUUAUUAAGCCAGAUGUGAAAGCCCCGGGCUUAACCUGGGAAUUGCAUUUGGAACUGGUAAACUAGAGUCUUGUAGAGGGGGGUAGAAUUUCAGGUGUAGCGGUGAAAUGCGUAGAGAUCUGAAGGAAUACCGGUGGCGAAGGCGGCCCCCUGGACAAAGACUGACGCUCAGAUGCGAAAGCGUGGGGAGCAAACAGGAUUAGAUACCCUGGUAGUCCACGCCGUAAACGAUGUCUACUUGAAGGUUGUGAUCUUGAAUCGUGGCUUUCGGAGCUAACGCGUUAAGUAGACCGCCUGGGGAGUACGGUCGCAAGAUUAAAACUCAAAUGAAUUGACGGGGGCCCGCACAAGCGGUGGAGCAUGUGGUUUAAUUCGAUGCAACGCGAAGAACCUUACCUACUCUUGACAUCCAGAGAACCUUUUAGAGAUAGAAGGGUGCCUUCGGGAACUCUGAGACAGGUGCUGCAUGGCUGUCGUCAGCUCGUGUUGUGAAAUGUUGGGUUAAGUCCCGCAACGAGCGCAACCCUUAUCCUUGUUUGCCAGCACUUCGGGUGG